This 433-nucleotide ribosomal RNA is filed under the name uncultured bacterium. RNAcentral's name for it is "partial 16S ribosomal RNA". It matches the Rfam family "Bacterial small subunit ribosomal RNA", at positions 29 to 507 of the family's 1533-position model. The record is from RNAcentral.
AACGAACGCUGGCGGCAUGCCUAACACAUGCAAGUCGAACGAGACCUUCGGGUCUAGUGGCGCACGGGUGCGUAACGUGUGGGAAGCUGCCCUUAGGUUCGGAAUAAUACUCCGAAAGGGGUGCUAAUAUCGGAAAAUGUAUUCGAACCAAAGAUUUAUCGUCCUUGGAUGGGCCGGCGUUGGCUUGGCUAGUUGGUAGGGUAAAAGCCUAUGAAGGCGUAGCUAUAUAGCUGGUCAGAGAGGAAGAGCAGCCACACUGGGACUGAGAUACGGCCCAGACUCCUACGGGAGGCAGGAGUGGGUAAUAUUGGACAAUGGGCUGAGGCCUGAACGAGCAAUGCCGCGUGAGUGAUGAAGGCCUUAAGGAAGUAAAGCUCUUUAACCCGGGAUGAUAAUGACGGUACCGAAAGAAUAAGCUCCGGCUAACUCCGUG